AUUUGAUUUUAGUGGCAUUAGUUCUUUCUCUAAGAAACUCCUUUUUUAAAAAGACUGUCUUGUUGUUGACGAACACUUUUUAUUCUUCAACGAGGUAGAAGUAGUAUCCUUUAGUUUUCUUUGGAUAUCCUACGAACAAGUAUUUAUCAGACCUAGGUCCAAGCUUUUCUAUUUUUAAAUACUUGACAUAAGCCAGACUUUCCUAAACUCUAAGGUGUGAGAGCACCAGCUUAUGCCUUGACCAUAUUUUAUAUGAUGUUUUAUUUACAGACUUAUCGAGACCUUAUUAAGUAUGUAGCAGACAGUUUCAAGAGCAUAUCCCCAAAACA
This 329-nucleotide long non-coding RNA is filed under the name Elaeis guineensis (African oil palm). RNAcentral describes it as "long non-coding RNA (EGUI_LNC010024)". The record is from RNAcentral. Lineage: Eukaryota; Viridiplantae; Streptophyta; Magnoliopsida; Arecales; Arecaceae.